UACGUAGGUGGCAAGCGUUGUCCGGAUUUAUUGGGUUUAAAGGGUGCGUAGGCGGCCUUGUAAGUCAGUGGUGAAAUACUCUAGCUUAACUAGAGGGGUGCCAAUGAUACUGCAGGGCUUGAGUACAGAUGGGGUAGGCGGAAUUGACGGUGUAGCGGUGAAAUGCAUAGAUAUCGUCAAGAACACCUAUAGCGAAGGCAGCUUACUGGGCUGUAACUGACGCUGAGGCACGAAAGUGUGGGGAUCAAACAGG
RNAcentral lists this ribosomal RNA (253 nucleotides) under uncultured bacterium. Its description in RNAcentral is "partial 16S ribosomal RNA". It matches the Rfam family "Bacterial small subunit ribosomal RNA", at positions 524 to 776 of the family's 1533-position model. The record is from RNAcentral.